GGUUAAGCGACUAAGCGUACACGGUGGAUGCCCUGGCAGUCAGAGGCGAUGAAGGACGUGCUAAUCUGCGAUAAGCGUCGGUAAGGUGAUAUGAACCGUUAUAACCGGCGAUUUCCGAAUGGGGAAACCCAGUGUGUUUCGACACACUAUCAUUAACUGAAUCCAUAGGUUAAUGAGGCGAACCGGGGGAACUGAAACAUCUAAGUACCCCGAGGAAAAGAAAUCAACCGAGAUUCCCCCAGUAGCGGCGAGCGAACGGGGAGCAGCCCAGAGCCUGAAUCAGUGUGUGUGUUAGUGGAAGCGUCUGGAAAGGCGCGCGAUACAGGGUGACAGCCCCGUACACAAAAAUGCACAUGCUGUGAGCUCGAUGAGUAGGGCGGGACACGUGGUAUCCUGUCUGAAUAUGGGGGGACCAUCCUCCAAGGCUAAAUACUCCUGACUGACCGAUAGUGAACCAGUACCGUGAGGGAAAGGCGAAAAGAACCCCGGCGAGGGGAGUGAAAAAGAACCUGAAACCGUGUACGUACAAGCAGUGGGAGCACGCUUAGGCGUGUGACUGCGUACCUUUUGUAUAAUGGGUCAGCGACUUAUAUUCUGUAGCAAGGUUAACCGAAUAGGGGAGCCGAAGGGAAACCGAGUCUUAACUGGGCGUUAAGUUGCAGGGUAUAGACCCGAAACCCGGUGAUCUAGCCAUGGGCAGGUUGAAGGUUGGGUAACACUAACUGGAGGACCGAACCGACUAAUGUUGAAAAAUUAGCGGAUGACUUGUGGCUGGGGGUGAAAGGCCAAUCAAACCGGGAGAUAGCUGGUUCUCCCCGAAAGCUAUUUAGGUAGCGCCUCGUGAAUUCAUCUCCGGGGGUAGAGCACUGUUUCGGCAAGGGGGUCAUCCCGACUUACCAACCCGAUGCAAACUACGAAUACCGGAGAAUGUUAUCACGGGAGACACACGGCGGGUGCUAACGUCCGUCGUGAAGAGGGAAACAACCCAGACCGCCAGCUAAGGUCCCAAAGUCAUGGUUAAGUGGGAAACGAUGUGGGAAGGCCCAGACAGCCAGGAUGUUGGCUUAGAAGCAGCCAUCAUUUAAAGAAAGCGUAAUAGCUCACUGGUCGAGUCGGCCUGCGCGGAA
Molecule: ribosomal RNA, 1127 nt
Filed under: Escherichia coli IS9
Lineage: Bacteria; Pseudomonadati; Pseudomonadota; Gammaproteobacteria; Enterobacterales; Enterobacteriaceae
Description: LSU rRNA
Rfam family: Bacterial large subunit ribosomal RNA
Source: RNAcentral